GACGAACGCUGGCGGCGUGCCUAAUACAUGCAAGUAGAACGCUGAAGAGAGGAGCUUGCUCUUCUUGGAUGAGUUGCGAACGGGUGAGUAACGCGUAGGUAACCUGCCUUGUAGCGGGGGAUAACUAUUGGAAACGAUAGCUAAUACCGCAUAACAAUGGAUGACACAUGUCAUUUAUUUGAAAGGGGCAAUUGCUCCACUACAAGAUGGACCUGCGUUGUAUUAGCUAGUAGGUGAGGUAAUGGCUCACCUAGGCGACGAUACAUAGCCGACCUGAGAGGGUGAUCGGCCACACUGGGACUGAGACACGGCCCAGACUCCUACGGGAGGCGGCAGUAGGGAAUCUUCGGCAAUGGGGGCAACCCUGACCGAGCAACGCCGCGUGAGUGAAGAAGGUUUUCGGAUCGUAAAGCUCUGUUGUAAGUCAAGAACGGGUGUGAGAGUGGAAAGUUCACACUGUGACGGUAGCUUACCAGAAAGAGACGGCUAACUACGUG
RNAcentral lists this ribosomal RNA (497 nucleotides) under uncultured bacterium. RNAcentral describes it as "partial 16S ribosomal RNA". It matches the Rfam family "Bacterial small subunit ribosomal RNA", at positions 28 to 507 of the family's 1533-position model. The record is from RNAcentral.